Molecule: ribosomal RNA, 432 nt
Filed under: uncultured bacterium
Lineage: Bacteria
Description: partial 16S ribosomal RNA
Rfam family: Bacterial small subunit ribosomal RNA
Source: RNAcentral
AACGAACGCUGGCGGCAUGCCUAACACAUGCGAGUCGAACGAGACCUUCGGGUCUAGUUGCGCACGGGUGCGUAACGCGUGGGAACCUUCCCUUAGGUUCGGAAUAACUCCCCGAAAGGGGUGCUAAUACCGGAUAAUGUCUUCGGACCCAAGAUUUAUCGCCUCUGGAUGGGCCCGCGUUGGAUUAGCUAGUUGGUAGGGUAAAAGCCUACCAAGGCGACGAUCCAUAGCUGGUCUGAGAGGAGGAUCAGCCACACUGGGACUGAGACACGGCCCAGACUCCGACGGGAGGCAGCAGUGGGGAAGAUUGGACAAGGGGCGAAAGCCUGAUCCAUCAAUGCCGCGGGAGUGAUGAAGGCCGUAGGGUGGUAAAGCUCUUUUACACGGGAUGAUAAGGACAGUACCGGGAGAAUAAGCACCGGCAAAUUCCGG